GUGAGAAAAGAGAGAGACAACGAAGGAGAAGAAGAAAGAACAGGGAAGAGAAAGAAAUCGAAGGUGUUUGGCUAAGGAGGAAGGUCAGGCAGAAAUGGGAGUAAAGGACGACCGAGUUUAAAGAAUUUGUUGUAUAUAAGUUUCAAAAAGAGAAUGGACCAGCUUCUGCCACCCAGAGUCAUUAAGAAAUUGUAUAUCAUUUGUAGUUACAUCCUGAAUAGUGUAUUUAGAAAGAAUUUAAGAAUAAAAGUGAUGUUAAAAGUUAGUUUAAAAGUUUAGAAGAUUUUCGACUAUAGACUCUGCACCUAGUGGGGUCCAUGGUCGGCGCAGUCUGUUCUUGAACUAGUAGGUGUUAUGGGACGGGUCGUGUCAAUUUCGCUCCCGUUUUAUCUAGUAAUUUUGUAUCGGGUCGAAGCCUCUAUGCUUCGGCUUUUUCGUGCGUUGUAACUGCUGAGAUCUAAAUGACCCAACCACCUUUUUUCCUUAAGCUAAUAGAAUGAGAUUUUUCGAUCA
This is a long non-coding RNA of Momordica charantia (bitter melon), 513 nucleotides long. RefSeq lists it as uncharacterized. Lineage: Eukaryota; Viridiplantae; Streptophyta; Magnoliopsida; Cucurbitales; Cucurbitaceae. The record is from RefSeq and is a predicted model, not a curated record.